UAUGUUUAAAAUUUCUUUUUUUUUUUUAAAGAAAAUUCAUAUCAUUUUACAACAAAAAAUUUCAUUGUGCACUAUGAUAUAAAUGUUAUAGUAUAGUGUUAUGGCUGUGUGUGUGGGUGUGUCCUGUGUCUUCUGCUGUGUGUCUCUCUCUGGUAGGUUUUCUCCCCAGGUGUCUCAGGUGAACCUGCUUGGUGUGAUGAGUGGGAGCGGAUAUAAGAAGGCACAGCUGCGCUGAUUCUCUCUCUCUCGUGAUCGUCACUUGUGCUGCAGACCUCCCGAUUGUUGACUGUGUUUCUAUCUUGUGUGUUUUGGUGUUCUUGAAUCCAGGUUUUCCAUUGGCAGGGGCCUGUGGUGUUUCUUUUGUUUGUUUUAAUAGUUGGCAGUGAAUUUUGGUUUUGAAUGACUUAUUGAUAAUCGGCCU
This is a non-coding RNA of Xyrichtys novacula (pearly razorfish), 421 nucleotides long. The record is from the annotation of a GenBank genome assembly. Lineage: Eukaryota; Metazoa; Chordata; Actinopteri; Labriformes; Labridae.